AUGUUGGAGAAGAGAGAAAUUAUUGGUUCAGUCCAAUUGAUAUCGAAGAUUGGAAUCUGAAUGGUUGACAGUGGUGGAAUGCAGAUACGUUGGAUUAGCUUCUAAUUUGGAAAAGAAGAAUGGUAAGGGUCUGGGUAUUUGGAUCUGUUUUUGCUGUUUAUUGUGUGUACUCGGUGAAAUUAUGGGUAUGUGAAAUAUUAGAAAUGAAAGUGGUACUUGUUGUUUGAGUUAUGUUGGAAACCUUGCAUGAUAGAGGAAAAGGAUGAAAUCAGUUUAGUAUAGAGGAAAUUGGUCUUGUGAAUUAGCAAAAAUUCGUUAUCAACGUUGAAGUGUAAAAUAAGAAUGUCUAUAACUAUCAUUUCGGAU
This 366-nucleotide long non-coding RNA is filed under the name Rosa chinensis. RNAcentral describes it as "sRNA RchiOBHm_Chr6g0281461". Lineage: Eukaryota; Viridiplantae; Streptophyta; Magnoliopsida; Rosales; Rosaceae. The record is from RNAcentral.